Molecule: unclassified non-coding RNA, 230 nt
Filed under: plant metagenome
Description: partial contains small subunit ribosomal RNA, internal transcribed spacer 1, and 5.8S ribosomal RNA
Rfam family: 5.8S ribosomal RNA (bases 183-230)
Source: RNAcentral
UUUCCGUAGGUGAACCUGCGGAAGGAUCAUUCAUAAUAAAGUGUUUUAUGGCACUUUUUAAAAAUCCAUAUCCACCUUGUGUGCAAUGUUAGAUCUCGUCAAUCUUGGCGAGAUUUUUAUACAUCAACUCAUUCUUUAACUAAUUUGUCUGAAAAAUAUUAUGAAUACUUAAUUCAAAAUACAACUUUCAACAACGGAUCUCUUGGCUCUCGCAUGAUGAAGAACGCAGC